RNAcentral lists this ribosomal RNA (254 nucleotides) under uncultured bacterium. RNAcentral's name for it is "partial 16S ribosomal RNA". It matches the Rfam family "Bacterial small subunit ribosomal RNA", at positions 524 to 776 of the family's 1533-position model. The record is from RNAcentral.
UACGGGGGGAGCAAGCGUUGUUCGGAUUUACUGGGCGUAAAGGGCGCGUAGGCGGCCACCGCAAGUCGACUGUGAAAUCUCCGGGCUUAACCCGGAAAGGUCAGCCGAUACUGCGGGGCUAGAGUGCAGAAGGGGCAACUGGAAUUCUCGGUGUAGCGGUGAAAUGCGUAGAUAUCGCUUGGAACGCCAACGGUGAAAACAGGUUGCUGGGGGUGUGCUGACGCUGAGACACGAAAGCCAGGGGAGCGAACGGG